AGCAGCCGCGGUAAUUCCAGCUCCAAUAGCGUAUAUUAAAGUUGUUGCAGUUAAAAAGCUCGUAGUUGAAUUUUGGGUUUGGCCAAUUGGUCCGUUCUUGUAACGAGUACUGGUUGGUUGGGCCUCACCGCCUGGUGAUACGUAAUGUCCUUUAUUGGGUGUUGCGAGUAGCCAGGACCUUUACCUUGAAAAAAUUAGAGUGUUUAAAGCAGGCUUAUGCCGGAAUACAUUAGCAUGGAAUAAUAGAAUAGGACGAUGAUUCUAUUUUGUUGGUUUCUAGGAGCAUCGUAAUGAUUAAUAGGGAUAGUUGGGGGCAUUAGUAUUCAAUUGUCAGAGGUGAAAUUCUUGGAUUUAUUGAAGACUAACUACUGCGAAAGCAUUUGCCAAGGAUGUUUUCAUUAAUCAAGAACGAAAGUUAGGGGAUCGAAGACGAUCAGAUACCGUCGUAGUCUUAACCAUAAACUAUGCCGACUAGGGAUCGGGCGAUGUUGUUUCAAUGACUCGCUCGGCACCUUAUGGG
This 520-nucleotide ribosomal RNA is filed under the name uncultured Archaeospora. Its description in RNAcentral is "SSU rRNA". It matches the Rfam family "Eukaryotic small subunit ribosomal RNA", at positions 569 to 1094 of the family's 1831-position model. The record is from RNAcentral. Lineage: Eukaryota; Fungi; Glomeromycota; Glomeromycetes; Archaeosporales; Archaeosporaceae.